GGAUGCAAGGGUGAUCUGGCUGAUCUGGCUGGCUAAGGUGGUUGCCCCCUUCCUUUCUCACUGCUCCAUGCAUAUUCUUCCAGAAGUGCCAUGCUAGGUCCAAGAGAACCACCUUCCCAGACAAAAGAGGAUCAUUCUUUGAUUAAGGUAUGCUCCCCUACUAGAACCUUCAAACAAGCUCUCAAGUUACAUAGAAUAGAAUAUCUUGUCAUGUAUUCAUCUGUGAAUUACCUGCUAAUAGCUUUUGGU
Otolemur garnettii (small-eared galago) is the source of this 249-nucleotide unclassified non-coding RNA. Its record names the gene 7SK. It matches the Rfam family "7SK RNA". From Rfam's summary of the family: 7SK was discovered as an abundant small nuclear RNA in the mid-70s but a possible function has only recently been suggested. Lineage: Eukaryota; Metazoa; Chordata; Mammalia; Primates; Galagidae. The record is from Ensembl.